ACAAGUACCGUGAGGGAAAGUUGAAAAGCACUUUGAAGAGAGAGUUAAAGAGGACGUGAAACCGGUAGGAAGGAAACGGAUAGAGUCAACGUAUCUAGCCUGUAUUCAGCUGGUGGUUUGCGCCAGGCGUGUCGGUCCGAUCCUGCCUCAUCGCUGGUCGGUCGGCGCGUCGUUACGGUGCGAUUCGGUAGUGCAUUUGCAGGUGGAGUGCGCCGAGACGUGUGGUGCGGGGGCUGGAAGCGCGUUUUGAGGUCACACCAUUCGUGGCGUGAAACCCGAUCGCGACGAAGGCUUUUCGUGCUACUCGUAGUGUGGGUGCGUUUGCGUUGCUGGGCGCUGUUGUGGCGGUGGGCGGCGGUCGCAUGCGACACGUGCUUUGCUGCUGCGACGGUGUUCGACAGCGCGUCGUGCUCGAUCUCGGUGUAAAAGUUGGUCAUCUAUCCGACCCGUCUUGAAACACGGACCAAGGAGUUUAGCGAAUGCGCGAGUCAUUGAGUGGACAAAACUCAAAGGCGCAAUGAAAGUGAUUCUAACGAAGUAUGCGAUCGAGUGCGCCUCGGCGUGUUCGAGCAGCAUAGCCCCGUCCCGAUCGCUUGCGAUGGGGCGGAGGUAGAGCGUAUUUGCUGAGACCCGAAAGAUGGCGAACUAUUCCUGAGCAGGACGAAGCCAGAGGAAACUCUGGUGGAAGUCCGAAGCGGUUCUGACGUGCAAAUCGAUCGUCUGACUUGGGUAUAGGGGCGAAAGACUAAUCGAGCCAUCUAGUAGCUGGUUCCUUCCGA
RNAcentral lists this ribosomal RNA (779 nucleotides) under Basiria gracilis. Its description in RNAcentral is "partial large subunit ribosomal RNA". It matches the Rfam family "Eukaryotic large subunit ribosomal RNA", at positions 344 to 964 of the family's 3401-position model. Lineage: Eukaryota; Metazoa; Nematoda; Chromadorea; Rhabditida; Tylenchidae. The record is from RNAcentral.